Molecule: ribosomal RNA, 419 nt
Filed under: uncultured bacterium
Lineage: Bacteria
Description: bacterial SSU rRNA
Rfam family: Bacterial small subunit ribosomal RNA
Source: RNAcentral
AUUGAACGCUGGCGGCAGGCCUAACACAUGCAACUCUAGUGGCGGACGGGUGAGUAACACGUGAGAAUUUGCCUUUAGAGGGGGAUAACAAUUGGAAACGAAUGCUAAUACCCCAUAUGCUUUUGAGUGAAACGGAUUUAUCCGCCUAGAGAGAAGCUCGCGGCUGAUUAGCUUGUUGGUAAGGUAAGAGCUUACCAAGGCGACGAUCAGUAUCUGGUUUGAGAGGACGAUCAGACACACUGGAACUGAGACACGGUCCAGACUCCUACGGGAGGCAGCAGUGGGGAAUUUUCCGCAAUGGGCGAAAGCCUGACGGAGCAAUACCGCGUGAGGGAAGACUGCCUAUGGGUUGUAAACCUCUUUUUUCAGGGAGGAAUAAAUGACGUGUACCUGAAGAAUAAGCAUCGGCUAACUCCGUG